ACGUACACUCCUACGGGAGGCAGCAGUGGGGAAUAUUGCACAAUGGGCGCAAGCCUGAUGCAGCCAUGCCGCGUGUAUGAAGAAGGCCUUCGGGUUGUAAAGUACUUUCAGCGGGGAGGAAGGCGAUAAGGUUAAUAACCUUGUUGAUUGACGUUACCCGCAGAAGAAGCACCGGCUAACUCCGUGCCAGCAGCCGCGGUAAUACGGAGGGUGCAAGCGUUAAUCGGAAUUACUGGGCGUAAAGCGCACGCAGGCGGUCUGUCAAGUCGGAUGUGAAAUCCCCGGGCUCAACCUGGGAACUGCAUUCGAAACUGGCAGGCUAGAGUCUUGUAGAGGGGGGUAGAAUUCCAGGUGUAGCGGUGAAAUGCGUAGUGAUCUGGAGGAAUACCGGUGGCGAAGGCGGCCCCCUGGACAAAGACUGACGCUCAGGUGCGAAAGCGUGGGGAGCAAACAGGAUUAGAUACCCGAGUAGUCCCA
Molecule: ribosomal RNA, 477 nt
Filed under: uncultured organism
Description: partial 16S ribosomal RNA
Rfam family: Bacterial small subunit ribosomal RNA
Source: RNAcentral